UGUAUGUAUGUAUGUAUUGUAUAUCUGUGUUAAUGCAGUUAGUGAAAUAGAUCUGAUUUGACUUUACGUGGUUUUGGUCGAAUUUGUUUGUGUUUGCAGUUAUAACUAAUAACGGUCUCGUAAAUGCAUUCACGUGGACUAUUAUUCGUUCUCCCAGAAUGUAAACCAAACAUAGAUUUUAUUACACGCGUGUAACUUCAUAGUGCAAAAAUUUCUUACACGUUGCUGAAGAUUUAUUUUCGUAUGCUAUUAUGCAGGUGACUGAUGAACUUGUAAAGAAGACAGAAGAAAUGGAGCGUAAAUAUGACCGGAAAAAAGUACCCAUCUAUGAUAGAAGAAGUCUCGUCAUCAGUUCGAUCCCAGACUUUUGGCUGACCGCUUUCAUGAAGCAUCCUAUACUCGGAACGCUGCUCACUCAGGAAGACCCGCAGGUUUCACACAAAAUAAUCCCCGUUAAAUAUUAAUGUUGGCCUAAUGAAAAACAAAUCUCAUUACUUUUGAAUACUUGGAUAGUCUUUAUGUGGAGGACCUUCAAUACCCGCAAAAAGGGUAUUGCAUUACGUUCAACUUCAAGAUCAACCCGUAUUUUGAAAAUGAAACAUUAAGCAAGACUGUCGACUACACUGACGAAGAUCUGGAGACAACAUGUACGACUAUAAGAUGGAAGGAGGGCAAGGUUGGUGAUCUGAUCAAGGGGGACUUAUAGGUUAAUCCCAUUGAACAUCUUAACCAUGUGGCACCCGUUGACGAAGAAGAUACCUGUGACGGGCGAUGAUGACUGAGUUUCUUUCGAUACCUUUUAGAAUUAUGUUUUUAAAUCGAACAAAGAGUAACUUUUAAACUUCUUAAACCUAUUUCGUUUGAGUCUUUCUGUUUUACUGCCUGGUAUUGACAUUGUUUUAUAUUUCAUGUUUUAUCUUAGCAUGCUGCUCAUUAUUUCUUGGUGUUGCAUUACUCUUACUUUUGAUUUUAUAAGAUCUCAAUUAGUGA
Non-coding RNA from Erythranthe guttata (spotted monkey flower), 990 nucleotides. The record is from RefSeq and is a predicted model, not a curated record. NCBI's taxonomy places the organism in Eukaryota, Viridiplantae, Streptophyta, Magnoliopsida, Lamiales, Phrymaceae.